Molecule: RNA transcript, 2492 nt
Organism: Magnolia sinica
Lineage: Eukaryota; Viridiplantae; Streptophyta; Magnoliopsida; Magnoliales; Magnoliaceae
Gene name: chaperone protein dnaJ 49
Exons: 3
Source: RefSeq, a predicted model, not a curated record
AUCAAAUAGCUCCCCUCCAAAAUAACCUUGUUUUCUCCUCUUCCCGAGCCAUUUCUCCACAGUUUCUCAGGGCUCUUACCCUUUUCCGAAUGCCAGGUAAGCCCUAAAAAUCUCAUUUUCUGCAGGAAUCGCAAUCUCUGCAGUUUUUCAGCGUUUGGCUGUCGAAUUUUGCUUGAGAUUUGUUGAAAUUCACGUGGUUUGAUGCCCGGGUUCGAUGAAACCCUAAUCGCUCUCCCUUUUUAUUUUAUUUUUUAAAGGAUUUUGGGAUUUAUAUGAUUGUUCUCUAUGAUUUGAUAGUGUUUUCGGAUUUUGGAUCGGUGGACAUCCGAUUUCGUAUUUCGGAUUUUGUAGGAUUUGUGGAAUUUGCGGAUCUUGGAAGAGAGAAAAUUUGGGAUUUUUAUUUCCCCAUAUGAUUAUGGGGAAGUCUGAUGUUUUGAGAUUGUCUGAUAAUUCAUGUUGUUGUGGGUUUGUAUGGAAAUUUGUGGUGAUUGGCUGUUUGUGCUGAAAAUUUGAUUAAUUGAUUUACUGAUCAGUUGAGUGUUGAGAUUUCCUUUGUGGGUUUUUCGCGUGAGAUAUUUUAGGACUUUCUGGUGCUCUGCUUAGAUCCAGUUGUUGAGAAAAUUCGGAUGUGGUGUUUGGACACGUGAAAUCUGAAUUUCUUUGGGGCUUUGUUUUUGGAACUUGGGCAUUGGAGAUUAUUUGGAAAUUCAUGUGAUUUGGGUUCACAUGGAAUUUUCGUGGAUGGGUUAUAACCAUUGAAAAUUUGAUUGAUCGAUCGAUUGGGAGUGAAAGGGGGUAGAUUGACCAUGGACAGUAACAAAGAUGAAGCUUUGAGAUGCAUCCGAAUUGCCGAAGCGGCUAUUGCAUCCGGCAACAAGCAACGUGCAUUGAAAUUCAUUAGAAUUGCUCAACGUCUGGACUGUAACCUAUCAGUUGAUGAGCUUUUAGCGGCGUGUGGGACACUAGAUUCUACUGCCUCCACCUCGGCUACUGAGGAGAGGCCUGUAGGUCAAAAUCCAAGAGAGCCGAUGCCUCGGAAAGACGCUGAUGUGUCGAAUGGGGAUCGGAAUUAUACCGAUGAGCAUGUUAAGCUGAUUCGGGAAAUCAAGAAAAACAAGGAUUACUAUGUGAUUCUCGGUGUAGAGAGGAGCUGCUCCAUCGAGGAGAUCAGGAAGGCUUACAGGAAGCUAUCUCUUAAGGUCCACCCUGACAAGAACAAGGCCCCAGGUUCAGAAGAGGCAUUCAAGAUGGUUUCUAAGGCUUUCAAGUGUUUGAGUGAUGAAGAGUCAAGGAGGCAAUAUGAUCAGACAGGUUUGGUCGAAGAAUUCGAAUACAACCAGCAGCACAAUGUCAGGAGGAGGAGAAGGACCACACAUGAUAUGUUUGAUGAGAAUUUCGACCCGGAUGAGAUUUUCAGGUCUUUCUUCUUUGGUUCGCAGCCGGAGGUGUUCCGAUCUGCACAUGUUUAUAGGGCAGCUAGAGGAAUGGCCAGUCAGCAAAGGGGGAAUGCCCAUAGUGGAGGGUUCAAUGUAAUGAUGUUGCUUCAGCUACUGCCUAUCUUGGUUAUCUUCCUAAUAGCAUAUCUGCCCUUCUCUGAGCCAGACUAUGCCUUGCAAAAGACGUAUUCCUAUCAGAUCCCGAAGGUAACUGACAAAUAUGGGGUAGAAUUUUAUGUCAAGUCGUCUGAUUUUGAUCAGCAAUUCCCGGAAGGAAGUCCUUCCAGAGCAAAUCUCGAGUACCAUAUAGUGAGGGACUACAAAAGCAUGCUUGGGCGCUACUGUCACAUGGAAAUGCAAAGGCGUCAGUGGUCUAGAAAUUAUCCCACACCCCACUGUGACAAGCUACGGAGUUUUGGAGUCGCCUGAAUGCAUUUAAUGAGGUCUUGGCGUGUGAAAGCGAGGAAAACCAGAUUUCUCAUCUCUCAUUGGGUGGGGAAAAGUGACCACAAUGUGAUGGCAUAUGGUCCCAAGGUGCUACAAACGGCCCCAGGCCUUUUGACUUGAUUGGAGACUUUCAUAAUCUGUCUACCAUUGAGCCAUCGAGCCAACCCACAUCAUGACCAUCUAAUGUGGACUUCACGCCUAUUACAUGCUCCUGAACUUUCAAUCAAUGGACCUUUUGUGGAUGCUUGUUGGGAGUCCAAAAGUCAGGCUAUGGACCGGUUCAAACCGCGGAAAUCUGGCUAUGUGCCGGUUCAAGCCAGUGAGCAUGGAGCUACUACCCUUUCAGGAACUGCCCUAUCAGUUGGGAGUUUUGAGCUUUUCAGACUCAUCUCGUUUGAUCCGCGUCAAGUUGUGACUUGGGGUCGAGUUGGGCUGAGCUGACUCGGGGUAUCAUGACCGGAUUUGAUCCGACGGUUGCAUCUGGCAGGGAUGGGUGGUGAAUCCUUUUUGAGCUACUGGUUUGAAUUAUGUGGUGUUUCCUCAUCUCUGAUCCACUAACCGCUUGUAUUCAUUGAUAUAAGACCAUUAAAAUGGUGUACCCACCUUGAC